GCCCUCCUCAACGCCCACCGGCCACGCGGCUGCGUCAGGUGCCUCGGUGACCCCUGCCCGUGAGGCUCACGGCCCCCCUCCGUGGGCUCCCUGGGCAGGCGGAGGUGAUGGUGGAGCUCAGGGAAGGAGUGGCCUGGUGUAGACACGAGGCCCCCUGGGACCCCUGCCCUGCCCCCGCCCCACACCCUGGAGCCCAACGGGCUGCGUCAGGCACAGAGCUGGACUUUCCCCACUGCUAUUUCGGGGCCAGGGCAGGGGCUGAGGUUAGCCAAGGAUGCAUCUGGGCACGGCUUCAGGCAGGACACAACUGCUCUGACCCCAGCAUCUCAUCACGUGUCCCCAGCAUCACCCAGGCAGGCUUUGACCCGGCACCUGUACAGCUGUGAGAGGAAGGACCCCAACUCCACGUCUGGCCCUGGAAGGAUCACUUGCUCAUCUCUGUCCUGUGAGGAGAGGCAGACGUAUGAACAAGGAAGCGUGAUUUGCUCACAGCAUGCCUCCCAGGAGUGACCACCAGCUCCUCAAGACAUUAUUUCUGGUGUUUUUUUCUAGGCACAAAGCCAACACAUGAAUGUCAGUUUCCCAUCCCUAAAACUAAUAUCUAUCGAUUAUUAUUGAUUAUCUCUGUGCAUGUUCCUUUGCAUUCUGCUUUUUUGCCACUUAACGUUGCUUCACGAGCAUUUUUACGUCGUUAAACGCCCCCCUCCCCAAAGAGCAUUCUUAGAGGGUGUGUGAUAUUUUGUGCCACCCCUGGGCAGGUA
Non-coding RNA from Delphinapterus leucas (beluga whale), 761 nucleotides. NCBI's taxonomy places the organism in Eukaryota, Metazoa, Chordata, Mammalia, Artiodactyla, Monodontidae. The record is from RefSeq and is a predicted model, not a curated record.